GGGAUCAGCACACAUGCCACCACUUUAGCAAAGCUGGAGGGAGCCCCACACAUGGUACCAGCCACUGCCCAGCGGGAUGAGUUGACUGGGAGCACACAUUCACCAACUCCGGUCUCAUAAAGCCCCAGAAACUCUCUGGUAUCAGCUGGCUGCUCUGUGGGACCCCCCUCACCUGUGAAAUGCAGUUAAGCUGUCCUGAGCAGCAUGAUAGCACGCCUGCUCAACACUGGCCAGACAAUCUCCAGUGUGACCACAGGGGUGCUGGUUUAAUUUUAGGGGUGUUGUUCAGAGAAUGGCUUGAGGAAGACAGGGUAACAUUCACUAGUCACAGAAAGGUGUGUCAUGUCUGGAGAAUGGAGAGUGAAGGACUGGCAGGGGCAGGGCAGACAGGACUGACUGCAGGGCCAUGAUGGAGGUGCUGAUUUGAAGUGCAGUGGGAAUUCCUAUGCAUGGCUGAAAGCCUGGAGCGCAAAUGCAGGCAAGACGUACCAGGAGGGCGAAGCCACGGGGAAGGUCCGCUCGUCCAGGCAGCUGGCCCGGCACCGAGUGUAGCCGAAAGGAAGCUUCUGGGGCCAAGAGGGAUCGGCACGGAAGGAGGAGGACAAAGACCCAGAGAAGCCACAGCGCCCGAGAGCGUCCGGAGGAAGGGUGCGGGGAAGGGCAGCGGCCCACGCGAGACGCCUCGGAGGCCACGACCGAGGGUCUCACGGUUCCGUGGGGCUGCUCCGCCUCACUGGGCUCCCAGCAAAGGUAUCCUCUAAGGCCACUCCCGGACCCCAGCCGUAGCAAGAGCGGCCUGCGGGGAGAGGGCGGGGCGGCCCCGCUGUCAAUCACGAC
Molecule: long non-coding RNA, 837 nt
Filed under: Nannospalax galili (Upper Galilee mountains blind mole rat)
Lineage: Eukaryota; Metazoa; Chordata; Mammalia; Rodentia; Spalacidae
Description: lncRNA (ENSNGAG00000024388.1)
Source: RNAcentral